Molecule: transfer RNA, 65 nt
Filed under: Lycodon ruhstrati
Lineage: Eukaryota; Metazoa; Chordata; Lepidosauria; Squamata; Colubridae
Description: tRNA-Thr
Rfam family: tRNA
About the family: Transfer RNA (tRNA) molecules are approximately 80 nucleotides in length. Their secondary structure includes four short double-helical elements and three loops (D, anti-codon, and T loops). Further hydrogen bonds mediate the characteristic L-shaped molecular structure. tRNAs have two regions of fundamental functional importance: the anti-codon, which is responsible for specific mRNA codon recognition, and the 3' end, to which the tRNAs corresponding amino acid is attached (by aminoacyl-tRNA synthetases). tRNAs cope with the degeneracy of the genetic code in two manners: having more than one tRNA (with a specific anti-codon) for a particular amino acid; and 'wobble' base-pairing, i.e. permitting non-standard base-pairing at the 3rd anti-codon position.
Source: RNAcentral
GCCCUAGUAGCUUAACAUUAAAGCAUUGUUCUUGUAAACCAAAGCUGGACUCAACCCCUAGAGCA